CCUCCGUAGGGGGACCUGCGGAGGGAUCAUUACCGAGUUUACAACUCCCAAACCCCUGUGAACAUACCUAUACGUUGCCUCGGCGGAUCAGCCCGCGCCCUGUAAAAAGGGACGGCCCGCCCGAGGACCCUAAACUCUGUUUUUAGUGGAACUUCUGAGUAAAACAAACAAAUAAAUCAAAACUUUCAACAACGGAUCUCUUGGUUCUGGCAUCGAUGAAGAACGCAGCAAAAUGCGAUAAGUAAUGUGAAUUGCAGAAUUCAGUGAAUCAUCGAAUCUUUGAACGCACAUUGCGCCCGCCAGUAUUCUGGCGGGCAUGCCUGUUCGAGCGUCAUUUCAACCCUCAAGCUCAGCUUGGUGUUGGGACUCGCGGUAACCCGCGUUCCCCAAAUCGAUUGGCGGUCACGUCGAGCUUCCAUAGCGUAGUAAUCAUACACCUCGUUACUGGUAAUCGUCGCGGCCACGCCGUAAAACCCCAACUUCUGAAUGUUGACCUCGGAUCAGGUAGGAAUACCCGCUGAACUUAAGCAUAUCAAUAAGGCGGAGGAAA
RNAcentral lists this ribosomal RNA (550 nucleotides) under Neurospora sp. Its description in RNAcentral is "eukaryotic LSU rRNA". The stretch from base 181 to 334 matches the Rfam family "5.8S ribosomal RNA". Lineage: Eukaryota; Fungi; Ascomycota; Sordariomycetes; Sordariales; Sordariaceae. The record is from RNAcentral.